Molecule: long non-coding RNA, 304 nt
Organism: Coccinella septempunctata (seven-spotted ladybird)
Lineage: Eukaryota; Metazoa; Arthropoda; Insecta; Coleoptera; Coccinellidae
Exons: 3
Source: RefSeq, a predicted model, not a curated record
CGUCAUAAAUCUUACGUAUUUCUGGUGAUAAACCUCAUUCCGCAACAUAAUAAUUCGUUAUUGCGUUCCCACGAGGGACAUAUUUCAACGUUUUAAAGUUCGCAAAGUUUCUCAUCUCGAGAGCUGAACACAAAGAACCCGGAAACCGCACCAGGAUAUUUGCUCAAGUAGAAAGAACAAAAAACUCACCUCUGCUAUCCUGGUACCCACUGGUUCCGUGUCAUAAAUCUUCCAAUUCCUCUCCAGAUAAACUGUUGGCGGUGUAUUCUCAAUUUGUCCUCGAACUGCAACGUAAAGUGAAUUG